GACGAACGCUGGCGGCGUGCUUAACACAUGCAAGUCGAGCGGUAAGGGCCCUUUCGGGGGUACACGAGCGGCGAACGGGUGAGUAACACGUGGGUGACCUGCCCUCAGCUCUGGGAUAAGCCCGGGAAACUGGGUCUAAUACCGGAUAUGACUCCAUGACGCAUGUUGUGGGGUGGAAAGCCUUGUGCGGCUGAGGAUGGGCCCGCGGCCUAUCAGCUUGUUGGUGGGGUGAUGGCCACCAAGGCGACGACGGGUAGCCGG
This 261-nucleotide ribosomal RNA is filed under the name uncultured bacterium. RNAcentral's name for it is "partial 16S ribosomal RNA". It matches the Rfam family "Bacterial small subunit ribosomal RNA", at positions 28 to 290 of the family's 1533-position model. The record is from RNAcentral.